Molecule: non-coding RNA, 23 nt
Filed under: Arabidopsis thaliana (thale cress)
Lineage: Eukaryota; Viridiplantae; Streptophyta; Magnoliopsida; Brassicales; Brassicaceae
Source: RNAcentral
GAUCACCAGGUCAUGGGGUCAAC